This 494-nucleotide ribosomal RNA is filed under the name uncultured bacterium. RNAcentral describes it as "partial 16S ribosomal RNA". It matches the Rfam family "Bacterial small subunit ribosomal RNA", at positions 28 to 507 of the family's 1533-position model. The record is from RNAcentral.
GACGAACGCUGGCGGCGUGCUUAACACAUGCAAGUCGAACGGUGAAGCGCCUUCCUUUUUGGUGGGUGUGGAUGAGUGGCGAACGGGUGAGUAACACGUGAGUAACCUGCCCCCUUCUUCUGGAUAACCGCAUGAAAGUGUGGCUAAUACGGGAUAUUCUGGGUCUGUCGCAUGAUGGGUCUGGGAAAGAUAUUGUUUCGGUGGGGGAUGGGCUCGCGGCCUAUCAGCUUGUUGGUGGGGUGAUGGCCUACCAAGGCGGUGACGGGUAGCCGGCCUGAGAGGGUGGACGGUCACACCGGGACUGAGACACGGCCCAGACUCCUACGGGAGGCAGCAGUGGGGAAUAGUGCACAAUGGGCGCAAGCCUGAUGCAGCGACGCCGCGUGAGGGAUGGAGGCCUUCGGGUUGUGAACCUCUUUCGCCAGUGAAGCAGGCCUGCCUCGUUUGUGGGUGGGUUGACGGUAGCUGGAUAAGAAGCGCCGGCUAACUACGUG